RNAcentral lists this ribosomal RNA (253 nucleotides) under uncultured bacterium. RNAcentral's name for it is "partial 16S ribosomal RNA". It matches the Rfam family "Bacterial small subunit ribosomal RNA", at positions 524 to 776 of the family's 1533-position model. The record is from RNAcentral.
UACGGAGGGUGCAAGCAUUACUCGGAUUUAUUGGGCGUAAAGGGCGCGUAGGCGGAAGUGAAAGUCAGAUGUGAAAUCCCGGGGCUCAACCCCGGAACAGCAUUUGAAACUCCAUUUCUAGAGGGUAGGCGGAGAAAACGGAAUUCCACAAGUAGCGGUGGAAUGCGUAGAUAUCGCUUGGAACGCCGAAGGUGAAAACAGGUCGCUGGGGACGCGCCGACGCUGAGACACGAAAGCCAGGGGAGCAAACGGG